CGGCAGCGCGGGAGCAAUCCUGGCGGCGAGUGGCGAACGGGUGAGUAAUACAUCGGAACGUGCCCAAUCGUGGGGGAUAACGCAGCGAAAGCUGUGCUAAUACCGCAUACGAUCUACGGAUGAAAGCAGGGGAUCGCAAGACCUUGCGCGAAUGGAGCGGCCGAUGGCAGAUUAGGUAGUUGGUGAGGUAAAGGCUCACCAAGCCUUCGAUCUGUAGCUGGUCUGAGAGGACGACCAGCCACACUGGGACUGAGACACGGCCCAGACUCCUACGGGAGGCAGCAGUGGGGAAUUUUGGACAAUGGGCGAAAGCCUGAUCCAGCCAUGCCGCGUGCAGGAUGAAGGCCUUCGGGUUGUAAACUGCUUUUGUACGGAACGAAACGGCCUUUUCUAAUAAAGAGGGCUAAUGACGGUACCGUAAGAAUAAGCACCGGCUAACUACGUGCCAGCAGCCGCGGUAAUACGUAGGGUGCAAGCGUUAAUCGGAAUUACUGGGCGUAAAGCGUGCGCAGGCGGUUAUGUAAGACAGUUGUGAAAUCCCCGGGCUCAACCUGGGAACUGCAUCUGUGACUGCAUAGCUAGAGUACGGUAGAGGGGGAUGGAAUUCCGCGUGUAGCAGUGAAAUGCGUAGAUAUGCGGAGGAACACCGAUGGCGAAGGCAAUCCCCUGGACCUGUACUGACGCUCAUGCACG
Molecule: ribosomal RNA, 693 nt
Filed under: Variovorax boronicumulans
Lineage: Bacteria; Pseudomonadati; Pseudomonadota; Betaproteobacteria; Burkholderiales; Comamonadaceae
Description: bacterial SSU rRNA
Rfam family: Bacterial small subunit ribosomal RNA
Source: RNAcentral